CCACGUUCCACAUCUCAAAUAGGAAUUGUCCCAAUCUCUCACAACUCUCUCCUUCCUCACAACAAAUCUCACGUUCUCAGAAAGGAUAUGAGGCGGUCAUCUCCUCUUCUAUCGGUCGGCGAAAGAAAAAAUCUGAUCUCAUAUGGCAGAUUAGAUUCGGUGUGGGAGCCUAGGGCAGAAUCACGGUGCCCUAGCGGCACGCUGUUGAGACUGAGAUGAAGGCUUAGGUAAGGCCUG
This 237-nucleotide long non-coding RNA is filed under the name Hordeum vulgare. RNAcentral describes it as "long non-coding RNA (HVUL_LNC017832)". The record is from RNAcentral. Lineage: Eukaryota; Viridiplantae; Streptophyta; Magnoliopsida; Poales; Poaceae.